GCCGGGGUGGCGGAACUGGCAGACGCACAGGACUUAAAAUCCUGGGACUCGAAAGGGUCGUGCGGGUUCGAUUCCCGCCCUCGGCACCA
RNAcentral lists this transfer RNA (89 nucleotides) under Acidobacteria bacterium 13_1_40CM_65_14. Its description in RNAcentral is "tRNA-Leu". It matches the Rfam family "tRNA". Rfam says of the family: Transfer RNA (tRNA) molecules are approximately 80 nucleotides in length. Their secondary structure includes four short double-helical elements and three loops (D, anti-codon, and T loops). Further hydrogen bonds mediate the characteristic L-shaped molecular structure. tRNAs have two regions of fundamental functional importance: the anti-codon, which is responsible for specific mRNA codon recognition, and the 3' end, to which the tRNAs corresponding amino acid is attached (by aminoacyl-tRNA synthetases). tRNAs cope with the degeneracy of the genetic code in two manners: having more than one tRNA (with a specific anti-codon) for a particular amino acid; and 'wobble' base-pairing, i.e. permitting non-standard base-pairing at the 3rd anti-codon position. The record is from RNAcentral. Lineage: Bacteria; Pseudomonadati; Acidobacteriota.